CUGCAAACAUUCUCGCCUGUUUGAUCGAUCCAUGGUCAGAACAGGGCUAGUAGUUUGCCAGAUUGACUCCAACACGAGAGCUAGCAGACUUGACCACACUGUCAUAUCUGUUCUCACCCUGCACCCGUUGGUCACAAUU
This 139-nucleotide small nucleolar RNA is filed under the name Periophthalmus magnuspinnatus. RNAcentral's name for it is "Small nucleolar RNA SNORA72 (ENSPMGG00000004334.1)". Lineage: Eukaryota; Metazoa; Chordata; Actinopteri; Gobiiformes; Gobiidae. The record is from RNAcentral.